AGAGCGAACGCUGGCGGCAGGCUUAACACAUGCAAGUCGAACGAACCCUUCGGGGUUAGUGGCGGACGGGUGAGUAACACGUGGGAACGUGCCCUUAGGUUCGGAACAACACAGGGAAACUUGUGCUAAUACCGGAUAAAGCCCUUACGGGGAAAGAUUUAUCGCCUUUGGAGCGGCCCGCGUCUGAUUAGCUUGUUGGUGAGGUAAAGGCUCACCAAGGCUACGAUCAGUAGCUGGU
Molecule: ribosomal RNA, 238 nt
Filed under: uncultured bacterium
Lineage: Bacteria
Description: partial small subunit ribosomal RNA
Rfam family: Bacterial small subunit ribosomal RNA
Source: RNAcentral